AAGGAAUUUUACAGACUAUUAUAAGAAAAAAGAGUCUCCUAAAUGAAAAGGUAGAUAGAACAGGUCUUGUCAGCGAAAUAAAUUCAAGACUUACAUAUCUACCAACAGCA
Non-coding RNA from Echinops telfairi (small Madagascar hedgehog), 110 nucleotides. RefSeq annotates it as small Cajal body-specific RNA 15. NCBI's taxonomy places the organism in Eukaryota, Metazoa, Chordata, Mammalia, Afrosoricida, Tenrecidae. The transcript has a single exon. The record is from RefSeq and is a predicted model, not a curated record.